This 882-nucleotide long non-coding RNA is filed under the name Coffea arabica (coffee). RNAcentral describes it as "long non-coding RNA (CARA_LNC007834)". Lineage: Eukaryota; Viridiplantae; Streptophyta; Magnoliopsida; Gentianales; Rubiaceae. The record is from RNAcentral.
GUGGCGGCGGCGCCACCGGCGACCGCCAUGGCCGCCAGCUGAAGCUUCCUCAGCUGGCCGAAGAAGAAGGAAAAAGAAACGGCUGGAAGUGGAGAAAGGAAGAAAAGAAAAGAAGGAAAGAAAGAAAGAAAAAAGGGGUUUGGGCUAAGGUUAGUUUUUAGGUGGGUUUGUGAUUAUUUUGUUAGGUUUUGGGGAUGGGCUUUAGUUUAUUUUUUCUUUUGGGUUUCCGUUGGGCUAGGAGGUUGGAGCCCAUGUAUUUUUUGGCUGGGCUUGAGGGAUAAAAAGACGGGCUGGCCUGUGUGUUUUGGCUUGGGCUUUCAGUUGGGUUUAGGUAAGUUCGGCCCAAGUAAAAUAAAAAGGGAGGCCCGAUGCCCUUUUCUUGUCCAAAUCAGAAACGAACUUGCACUUCAGUCCCUGUACUUUCAAGUACUUUCACUGCGGCCCAUAACAUUUUAAAUUCCUUUCAACUCGGUCCUUAAAUUAAUUUCACUUUGGUCCCUGAAUUUUAUCUUUCAUUUAAUUUGGACCCCUGAACUUUGGAAAAUAUAAUUUUUGUCCCCCAAAAGUUUUCAAUUUUUGCAAUUCAGUCCUUGGCAAAUUUUGGCUCUCUUUAUUAUGAUUGUUUCUUUUCUUUAAUAGCUAAUUAUGCUACUUUUGAAUAUACUUAACUUGUAAUUUUUAGAUUUGCUUAAAUUUCUUUACGUCUGACAUAUUAGUGUGAAUUUAGUGCUUGUAUUAUUAUUUUCUUUUUCAAUUAAAUUGGUGCCAUGAUCCUUUUGUUCAUUGUGAGUAUAAUUAGGACAAUUUGAUUCCAUUUAGUCACCACUUCAAACGGGAGGUACUCCUAUUUUAUUAUUUCAAUGUCAAUUACGUGCUCUUAUG